Molecule: non-coding RNA, 21 nt
Filed under: Arabidopsis thaliana (thale cress)
Lineage: Eukaryota; Viridiplantae; Streptophyta; Magnoliopsida; Brassicales; Brassicaceae
Source: RNAcentral
UGAUUCAGGUAGUUCUUCCAC